GAUGAACGCUGGCGGCGUGCCUAAUACAUGCAAGUCGAGCGAACAGACGAGGAGCUUGCUCCUCUGACGUUAGCGGCGGACGGGUGAGUAACACGUGGAUAACCUACCUAUAAGACUGGGAUAACUUCGGGAAACCGGAUCUAAUACCGGAUAAUAUAUUGAACCGCAUGGUUCAAUAGUGAAAGACGGUUUUGCUGUCACUUAUAGAUGGAUCCGCGCCGCAUUAGCUAGUUGGUAAGGUAACGGCUUACCAAGGCAACGAUGCGUAGCCGACCUGAGAGGGUGAUCGGCCACACUGGAACUGAGACACGGUCCAGACUCCUACGGGAGGCAGCAGUGGGGAAUCUUCCGCAAUGGGCGAAAGCUUGACGGAGCAACGCCGCGUGAGUGAUGAAGGUCUUCGGAUCGUAAAACUCUGUUAUUAGGGAAGAACAAAUGUGUAAGUAACUAUGCACGUCUUGACGGUACCUAAUCAGAAAGCCACGGCUAACUACGUG
RNAcentral lists this ribosomal RNA (497 nucleotides) under uncultured bacterium. RNAcentral describes it as "partial 16S ribosomal RNA". It matches the Rfam family "Bacterial small subunit ribosomal RNA", at positions 28 to 507 of the family's 1533-position model. The record is from RNAcentral.